GUCCACGCCCUAAACGAUGUCAACUGGUUGUUGGGGAAGGAAACUUCCUUAGUAACGAAGCUAACGCGUGAAGUUGACCGCCUGGGGAGUACGGCCGCAAGGUUAAAACUCAAAGGAAUUGACGGGGACCCGCACAAGCGGUGGAUGAUGUGGAUUAAUUCGAUGCAACGCGAAAAACCUUACCUACCCUUGACAUGCCAGGGAGCUUGCUGAGAGGCGAGUGUGCCCGAAAGGGAGCCUGGACACAGGUGCUGCAUGGCUGUCGU
This 266-nucleotide ribosomal RNA is filed under the name uncultured bacterium. RNAcentral's name for it is "partial 16S ribosomal RNA". It matches the Rfam family "Bacterial small subunit ribosomal RNA", at positions 793 to 1055 of the family's 1533-position model. The record is from RNAcentral.